Molecule: ribosomal RNA, 546 nt
Filed under: uncultured bacterium
Lineage: Bacteria
Description: bacterial SSU rRNA
Rfam family: Bacterial small subunit ribosomal RNA
Source: RNAcentral
AGUCAAUAGAUACCCAGGUAGUCCAUGCCGUAAACGAUGAUUGCUAGGUGUGGGGGGUCUGACCCCUUCCGUGCCGGAGUUAAACACAAUAAGCAAUCCACCUGGGGAGUACGGCCGCAAGGUUGAAACUCAAAGGAAUUGACGGGGGCCCGCACAAGCAGUGGAGUAUGUGGUUUAAAUUCGAAGCAACGCGAAGAACCUUACCAGGUCUUGACAUCCACCGAAUCCUGUAGAGAUACGGGAGUGCCCUUCGGGGAACGGUGAGACAGGUGGUGCAUGGUUGUCGUCAGCUCGUGUCGUGAGAUGUUGGGUUAAGUCCCGCAACGAGCGCAACCCUUGUGAAUAGUUGCUACGAAAGAGCACUCUAUUCAGACCGCCGUUGACAAAACGGAGGAAGGUGGGGAUGACGUCAAAUCAUCAUGCCCCCUAUGACCUGGGCUACACACGUACUACAAUGGCCGUUAACAGAGGGAUGCAAUGCCGCGAGGUGGAGCGAACCCCUAAAAAAACGGUCUCAGUUCAGAUUGCAGGCUGAAACUCGCCUGC